RNAcentral lists this long non-coding RNA (3084 nucleotides) under Neodiprion lecontei (redheaded pine sawfly). RNAcentral's name for it is "uncharacterized LOC124294060, transcript variant X2". The record is from RNAcentral. Lineage: Eukaryota; Metazoa; Arthropoda; Insecta; Hymenoptera; Diprionidae.
GCUAAUUGUAAGAUUAAGGUAAGAGCCUGUAUUGCCUAAGCAAACACCGCAGAGAGGCAGUCGCAUGUAGAACUCGUGUAACUAUGGCUUUUCUUAAUUGUAGAAGAGGUGACGAAUCUGGUGAACACGGUUAAUAACAAAACUAACCACCAGAUGGCGCCUCGUACGGAUAUCAAUACAAGUCAACUAUCCGGAACAUCUCAUUCGGUACGUGGCGGUCGCCCAAUCGCCAUCUCCUGAAAAUCGGAGCGCCCGAAAAGUUGCGAUGAAGACUAGAAGAAGCAAUGGACCUAGUCCGGCUAAUAUCAAGACCCAACUCGCAAACAUCACUGAGCAAUAGGACAUUUUUCCAUUACUGUGAUGUACCUGGACCAUUCGCGGCAGUUGUCUUCCCGUGACAAAAUGACCGUCCAUGUCGAUGACCAUGAGAGUCCGAUCCCUGAGCCAGCCGUCUCUGAGACCCAGAGGCGUACAUUCCAUGGUAUUCAAGCGUACGGCACCUAAAGACUUUACAGGGAAGACGAUGAGGUCGCUCAGUUCGCCGACCUUCCGCCAUUUCUUCGGAGGCUGUUCCUUUUGGCGACGAGUCCAAAACCACCAUGCCAAAGCGACGGCUGUCCCAGCGCCGACUAUGACCGCCGUUGCGUAGGCCAACCUCGAUCUCUCUUUAAUGAGAAAAUAAUUAACGCUAAAGUAUUAAAUGAGAUGCUGUUUAACGCUCUUGCAAAUCUGAGAUAUGCCCCAUUUAUCCAUUUCAAGAGCUCGUCGUUUCGCUUGUACACUGACAAUUAAAAAAGAUUAUUAUACGGGCCUUAUUUGAUCGAGAAAAAGAUGCAUAUUUAGAAAUUGAAAUUAAAAGAAAACAUUUUGGAGCAUCAUACUAUUGCGUUAAAAAUGCAUUUUUUAGUUUCCGAAAAUGGAUACCUGUUUCUGAAUUUCUAUUUUACCAAUGAUGGGUACAAGUGGUUGAAUUUUGAAAGAUCUGAUCAACAACAACAAUCUGAAACUUUUCCUUUUUUGAUAGCAUCAAUUCAUGUUUCCCCGGUUUAUUUAUUGCAUACGUUACGCUGGACGAGUUUAUUCGAUUAACAAUUAAUUUAAACCACGGUUCUUGAUCGGCGACUUUGAAUAACAGUACGUAUAACUUCACGCUUAGAUGUUGAAAAAAAUGUUUCUCAGGUGUAUGUGAAGCGGGUCUGGGAUAGCAUUAGAAAUGAAUAACUCUUGCCAGGAAUGUGAUGAGAAAUGAGAUGUAUGUCAUUCUCAUUAUCGGACGUCCUACUGCAACGUUAUCCAUGUUCCCGUAUUAUUUGUACCCUAAAUUCUCAACAAGUAGAGCGUACGUCUACACUUUCAUCUUCCACGCACGGUUAAACGGGAUAACUGUAUAAUAUCAUUCUGCAACUACUUAUUAAGUGAAAUAUUCAUUACUCGUGAACUAUCAGCAAACGUUAAUUAUUUCGGUUAAGAGAAAAGGACGGUAAAUUGUAGACAUUCUUUUGCUGGUGAAAAUAUGCAUACGAGCAAUUCUCACUCAAGUCGAAAGGGUUCGGUAUGUUUAACCUUAAAUCCGACUCGAGAGUUUUUUUUGAUUUACGUUUCUCCUGAAACUAUAUCCGAAAGAGUUUUGCUUUUUUAAACUUUUAGUUUUGACUAAUCAAUUAUCAAAUCUUUCGAAGAAUUACAAGUUGAAUAAUUUUUUCUCAAACAUGACUCGUUCUAAUAAAAAACUCUCCGAAGAUUUUUAGUUUUUACCUUGGUCUAAAGAUAAACUAAACUGAAAAAAAAAUUGGCACUAAUUUAAUAUGGAGUGAUUUUUUAUUGAUUUGUCGUUGGUUUCUUAAUUACAACUUCCUGAAAUGAAACUGGCUAUUGCAUAUUGAAAUCCUAAAUAUACCAGACAAUUUCAUUUUCGACGGCUAUAAUUGUAUUUACUUGGACUAAAUUCGAAUGAAAUUCACGCAAAAUUAAAACAUGGUAUUAUAAUUUUUCGACAAUAUUGUAACACUGUACCAGUAACGUUAGUAGUAUAAUAUGCCAGUUGCAGUAGUGGUGCGAGAAAUAAUCAUGUGUAGGUUAUCGUAACACGUGGUAUAAAUAUCAUUUAAACGCUUAAAAGAAAGUUUUUUUUUCAAGUUUCUUUUUAAUACGAACAAUGAUCAGAUAGCACCCGUUUUAACUGAAUUACUUGAUCUGCAUAAUUCUUCUGCAGUGGAAAUAGCAGUACGUUGAAUAAUAGUUUUUACAGUACAUGAACUAUAUACAUAGGAAAUUACCCUCUUAAUUUAAAACCGUCUGGGUAUGAUAACUUCGUUUACUCAGAGGAAACAAAUAACCAAUCUUAACUGUUUAUUCGCAUGCGGUUCGAUUUAAAAUAGUGCGAGUGUUCAACUGUACGUAGAAUUCAAUAUUAUGUUUAAGAACCACGAUAUGCUUCAGUAAUCUUCUAUCCGUGAUCAUAAAGUUCUUGGCAUUCUUUGGUUCGUUUUCUUUUUCUCUUGAUUUUAUCGACGCUUCGCUGGUUCUUCCGGGUUUCGAACAUCUGUUGUACUUUGCAUAGAAUGAACGUCAUGAUAACCGAUGAACACGUGAAGAAAGGAUGGAACGCUACGUUGCAUGAUUCGAGUAAAUAUGUACGAUGUUACACUCGGCUGCAUUUCCAUUUCCGUCGCCAUGGGCAAGGAUACCUAGGACCUGAGCAAAAUCAAUACUUCGCGAAUCGAGCAGUUCGUGAGCCUACUUGCUGGGAAAAAAUCGUAUGAUGAUGAGUCCAAGAGACGAUCGUGAACACGUGUAUUACGAAACACGUGUCUUAAAAUUCUACAAAUUUCCGACUCAACGAGCGUUUGUGUCUUUUGACUUGAAUUAUUGGAGCUUGAUAAUAAUUCAAGUUAGCAGACAUAAUAAAUGUUAAGUGUCGAGGCUAUAAUUUUAUCUUAUUAAAGAUGUAGAAACACCGUGCAUAAUAUAAUUCACGAAUGAUACUUCAUUAUCUGUGCAGGAGUCACUCGUGUUUAUUUUACUGAAGAUAAGCUCGGGUAUUUUCUUCAAACAAUCAUCCAUAAUACGAUCACAAACUAUCGU